GAUGAAGAACGCAGCGAAAUGCGAUACGUAAUGUGAAUUGCAGAAUUCAGUGAAUCAUCGAAUCUUUGAACGCAUAUUGCGCUCUCUGGUAUUCCGGAGAGCAUGCUUGUUUGAGUAUCAGUAAACACCUCAACUCCCUUUUCUUUUUUGAAAUGGGAGCUGGACUUGAGUGAUCCCAACACUUUUCUCACUGGAAAGUGGUGGGUCACUUGAAAUGCAGGUGCAGCUGGACUUUUCUCUGAGCUAUAAGCAUAUCUAUUUAGUCUGCCUAAAAAACAGAUUAUUACCUUUGCUGCAGCUAACAUAAAGGAGAUGAGUUCUUGUGCUGACUGAUGCAGGAUUCACAGAGACAGCUUUGCGGCUGACUUUGUAAACUCGAUCUCAAAUCAAGUAAGACUACCCGCUGAACUUAAGCAUAUCAAUAAGCGGAGGA
Molecule: unclassified non-coding RNA, 433 nt
Filed under: soil metagenome
Description: partial contains 5.8S ribosomal RNA, internal transcribed spacer 2, and large subunit ribosomal RNA
Rfam family: 5.8S ribosomal RNA (bases 1-120)
Source: RNAcentral